UCUCCUCAGGAGCCUCCACAGGUUUCUCUUCAGGAGCCUCCACAGGUUUCUCUUCAAGAGCCUCCACAGGUUUUACCUCAGGAGCCUCCACAGGUUUCUCUUCAAGAGCCUCCACAGGUUUCUCUUCAGGAGCCUCCACA
Octopus sinensis (East Asian common octopus) is the source of this 140-nucleotide long non-coding RNA. RefSeq lists it as uncharacterized. The record is from RefSeq and is a predicted model, not a curated record. The transcript has 3 exons. NCBI's taxonomy places the organism in Eukaryota, Metazoa, Mollusca, Cephalopoda, Octopoda, Octopodidae.